Molecule: ribosomal RNA, 492 nt
Filed under: uncultured bacterium
Lineage: Bacteria
Description: partial 16S ribosomal RNA
Rfam family: Bacterial small subunit ribosomal RNA
Source: RNAcentral
AGUGAACGCUGGCGGUAGGCCUAACACAUGCAAGUCGAACGGCAGCACAGUAAGAGCUUGCUCUUACGGGUGGCGAGUGGCGGACGGGUGAGGAAUACAUCGGAAUCUACUUUUUCGUGGGGGAUAACGUAGGGAAACUUACGCUAAUACCGCAUACGACCUACGGGUGAAAGCAGGGGAUCUUCGGACCUUGCGUGAUUGAAUGAGCCGAUGUCGGAUUAGCUAGUUGGCGGGGUAAAGGCCCACCAAGGCGACGAUCCGUAGCUGGUCUGAGAGGAUGAUCAGCCACACUGGAACUGAGACACGGUCCAGACUCCUACGGGAGGCAGCAGUAGGGAAUAUUGGACAAUGGGCGCAAGCCUGAUCCAGCCAUACCGCGUGGGUGAAGAAGGCCUUCGGGUUGUAAAGCCCUUUUGUUGGGAAAGAAAAGCAGCAGGUUAAUACCCCGCUGUUCUGACGGUACCCAAAGAAUAAGCACCGGCUAACUUCGUG